UAAAACUAAUCCAUUCUAGCGUACAUACAUGAUACAUCCUGUAAAUCAGAAGACAAUAUAUUCAAAAAUUGAGCAGAAAGAUCUGAACUAGAUAUUAAUCUUUCAAAGAGAACCCAACAGAUCUAACAAACUGACAUUGAAGGAACAUGUGAUCAGCUAUCUCGGGAUCUCGCCAGCAGAAUUUUAAAAGAAGAAAAAGGGUCCUCCAAGCCACCCCCAUUUACUUGAAGUAUCAACUGGUCUAGCAGCUUGUUGCAGACCACUAAAUUCCUGAAUAUUUUGAACCUUCAGAGGAGCUGGUCUCUGCCAUAUGCUUCUCACAGUUGAGAACAGAAGCCCCCCGCUAUUCAGAAACUGACAAAAACCUAGGGACGGAAAAAUGAAGGAAAAGAAAACCCCCUUGGUGAAACAAAUAAGCAAGGAUAUUCAAGAACUGGAGCACCGCAAAAAGAUCUUGAUGUUGAGGCUGAUUUUAGAAAUGCGUUAACAUUGGCUUCCAAAAUGGAUUGCCGUCUUUGCUCAUAAAACUAAGCAACCCAAGUAUCUGGUUUCCAAGCAGCAACAUAUAGACAAGGGUGCCUCUCAGCAAGCACAGAAUCUCCAGCCUGUUUAUCCUUUCAGAACGUAGCUUCCAACCUUAGCUUUAAACUGCAAGAGAAACUGGGGGCCACCUUAAGUACACCUUUCCAAAAUUAGCAACUCUCGGGGAGCAACAGAGUUUGAAAUCUACUUGUCAGAGCCACUUCCCCCACCAAGUUGAACUCCCUUAGGUUCACGAUACCAAGACUCUCUAAUCUAGCAGACUUGACCAGCCUGCAGUAGAGCGGACACCCCUGCCAAGAGAAAACGUGAUGGCAUAUAGCAUCGAUAAGCCAGAUAACAAUCAGGCAUCAGGAAGAAUGCCAUGAAGUACAUCAAAAAAUACUAAGCAAUGGACUGCAAUAGCAUUAAACGACCACCAUAAAAUAAUGUGUCAUUUCCAACCAGAAAGCCUGUCGUCCACCCUCUCAAUCACCUGGUCCCUAUCCUCAUGAUGCAGCUGUUUGUCGAUCAAUGGAAGCCCAAAAAAAAUUUAGAGCUAGAAAUUGCUGCUUGCAAUUCAGAAGUCUCGCAACCCACUGUCCUCAACCAUCCCUGCGGCCAAGGAAAACCAACUCAAUCUUGUGAAAUUCACCCUGAGCCCAGAUAGGAUCCUUUUUUCUGAUGGGACCAGAUAGGCCUUCAAAACAAUAGAGAACAAAUUUGGGCUUGGACUUCUUGAUACAUGCGUACAAUCUAGGUUUGUGUCACUGUUUCCAGUAAAGUUACAUAAACAAUUUCAGAAGGCUGAACAAUGUGAGGUCCCAAUCAUUAGCCAAUUAACUAAAAUUGAACCAAGUUAGAUUAGUAAUUACAAUACAGAGUAAUAACUUAUAUUGUAAUUGAGUAAAGUAUAAACAAGUAAUCAAUGCUCAACACUUUAGAAUCUAGAUUUAGAGGAUUUGCUUGCUUAAACUAUCAUGCUUUAGUUUCUUAACUGUCAUAGCCCAAAACCAAGCCCAAGCCCAACUAUCUAAGACCCAAGCCCAUUCAAAAAAAAAAAAA
This 1584-nucleotide long non-coding RNA is filed under the name Elaeis guineensis (African oil palm). RNAcentral describes it as "long non-coding RNA (EGUI_LNC001242)". The record is from RNAcentral. Lineage: Eukaryota; Viridiplantae; Streptophyta; Magnoliopsida; Arecales; Arecaceae.